Molecule: ribosomal RNA, 265 nt
Filed under: Chaetoceros curvisetus
Lineage: Eukaryota; Bacillariophyta; Thalassiosirophyceae; Chaetocerotales; Chaetocerotaceae
Description: partial Eukaryotic small subunit ribosomal RNA
Rfam family: Eukaryotic small subunit ribosomal RNA
Source: RNAcentral
AUGGCCGUUCUUAGUUCGUGGAGUGAUUUGUCUGGUUAAUUCCGAUAACGAACGAGACUCAAAUAUAUUAAAUAGAUAUCUUCAGGAUUAUGGUGCUGAAGCUUAUGUAGCCUUCAUUCAUGGUGGCAGUAAAAUGUUUAUUGUGUUUGAAUGUGUUUAUGUAAGUGGAGCCGUACCUGUUGGUUUGUCCCAUUAUAAGGACACUAGCUUCUUAAAUGGACAAAUUGCGUCUAGCAAUAAUGAGAUUGAGCAAUAACAGGUCUGU